AGUGAACGCUGGCGGUAGGCCUAACACAUGCAAGUCGAACGGCAGCACAGGAGAGCUUGCUCUCUGGGUGGCGAGUGGCGGACGGGUGAGGAAUACAUCGGAAUCUACUCUGUCGUGGGGGAUAACGUAGGGAAACUUACGCUAAUACCGCAUACGACCUACGGGUGAAAGCAGGGGACCUUCGGGCCUUGCGCGAUUGACUGAGCCGAUGUCGGAUUAGCUAGUUGGCGGGGUAAAGGCCCACCAAGGCGACGAUCCGUAGCUGGUCUGAGAGGAUGAUCAGCCACACUGGAACUGAGACACGGUCCUGACUCCGACGGGAGGCAGCAGUGGGGAAUAUUGGACAAUGGGCGCAAGCCUGAUUCAGCCAUACCGCGUGGGUGAAGAAGGCCUUCGGGUUGUAAAGCCCUUUUGUUGGGAAAGAAAUCCAGCUGGCUAAUACCCGGUUGGGAUGACGGUACCCAAAGAAUAAGCACCGGCUAACUUCGUGCCAGCAGCCGCCGUAA
Molecule: ribosomal RNA, 506 nt
Filed under: uncultured bacterium
Lineage: Bacteria
Description: partial 16S ribosomal RNA
Rfam family: Bacterial small subunit ribosomal RNA
Source: RNAcentral